CACAACAGAGGCAGAACAGGGCACGCUCCAUUCGUUUAGGCCAUUGCGAAGAUGUUUUCUUCACGAAACGUUGUUUGCUCGAAGAAGCCGUGGCUCCUCCCUGACACGCCGCACACUUUAAGCCUCGGAUGUGUGACUAGGCCAUGUUGAUGGUUCAUUACUCAACAUAAAUUCAGCAGUGCACGAAAUGAAGUGAAAGGCAUUUACUUUGAAGCAACGCGUCGACGGGCCGAUGUGCGAGAGCUUACUUCUUUUCUUCUUCUGAUGAAGACUUCCAUCAAACUCAACUCAACACUACUUCUUCCAUGAAACAAAGAAGGGGCGCAUGGAUGUGUCCUGACGUCCAAUGAAGCUGUAACUGACAAGAUUGCGAUAAGGGUGGAUUAGCAAGAUGAGAGCUGCCAAGUCGAAUCAACUUCCUGGGAUGCAUCAUGCAGGUUUGGAGAGAGGGAUUAGGGACUCAGUCGCCCUUUAAGGUGGAUCAGCGUAAGCCCAAGCCCUAUUCAGUCCAAUUUGGACUAAUGACCAAAGAAUCCUUUUACAUUGCGUGAUUUUUGUUUUUUGUUCGAAAGCGCACUCCACCACCAUAAUCAAAACACCACUUGAGGGAAUAUAUUUUGGAAGAAUCCUGUUCAUCACUCCAGUACAGAUCUAG
Ictalurus punctatus (channel catfish) is the source of this 655-nucleotide long non-coding RNA. Lineage: Eukaryota; Metazoa; Chordata; Actinopteri; Siluriformes; Ictaluridae. The record is from Ensembl.